UGUGACCUCAAAUCAGGUAGGACUACCCGCUGAACUUAAGCAUAUCAAUAAGCGGAGGAAAAGAAACUAACAAGGAUUCCCCUAGUAACUGCGAGUGAAGCGGGAAAAGCUCAAAUUUAAAAUCUGGCAGUCUUUGGCUGUCCGAGUUGUAAUCUAGAGAAGUGUUAUCCGCGCUGGACCGUGUACAAGUCUCCUGGAAUGGAGCGUCAUAGAGGGUGAGAAUCCCGUCUUUGACACGGACUACCAGGGCUUUGUGAUGCGCUCUCAAAGAGUCGAGUUGUUUGGGAAUGCAGCUCAAAAUGGGUGGUAAAUUCCAUCUAAAGCUAAAUAUUGGCGAGAGACCGAUAGCGAACAAGUACCGUGAGGGAAAGAUGAAAAGAACUUUGGAAAGAGAGUUAAACAGUACGUGAAAUUGCUGAAAGGGAAACGCUUGAAGUCAGUCGCGUCGUCC
This 451-nucleotide ribosomal RNA is filed under the name Cortinarius uliginosus. Its description in RNAcentral is "eukaryotic LSU rRNA". It matches the Rfam family "Eukaryotic large subunit ribosomal RNA", at positions 1 to 443 of the family's 3401-position model. Lineage: Eukaryota; Fungi; Basidiomycota; Agaricomycetes; Agaricales; Cortinariaceae. The record is from RNAcentral.